UGAACUGACCUUGCACUGCAUGUGAAAGGGCUAUUUGCAGUCUUUUCCUUUUUCAAAUAAUGAUGUAAAUGCAGAUUUAUAAAGAAGUAAACAUGCUUCUAACUAUCUUAAUUGCCUUUAAAGGACAUCUUCAAAAAUUCAAUUUGAAAAUUAUGUUUAUAUUCUUCAGGGAAAAAUGUUAUGAUGUGUUUGGAUAGGAGACAACCCAUUGAAAAUUUACUUUGUACUUCUUCCACAUAUUUAUCUGGCUUUGCUCCAUCUCUCAGCAAAUUUAAAGUGUCACUUGCUACUGCAUAUACAUCAAAAGAACGUUAGCAGGACUAUGCCAUCUCAAAAUGACAACUUUUUACAUGGUAUUGAAGGAAAGCAAAUUGCAGACACUUUAAACUUAAACAAGCUACCUAAUUACAAAAGGUUAAAUGAAAAAUUAAAAAAUAUAUCAAAACUUUUAUAUCACUUUACAUGAUUGAUAAACUCUAUAUGAUGUCUCUGCUCAGUCUUUACUUCAGCUAAAUUGUAAUGAGAAUUGUAAAUAAACUGCAGUUUUAAUUUUUAGUUAAAAGCUGUGGUACCCCAAAUGAUUAUAAAAAGAAUGGAGAAAGAGGGUAAAAAAUAAAAAGUAACCUUAACAUAAAUUGAGCAACAAUCUGAAAGUUUAUUCCCUGUUGUAAAUUGAGCUCUACUUCUUCACUUUUCAUUCCAAAGUUACAUGAGAUUUAUCAGAUUGUUGAACACAUUUAAACAUUAUAACAAGCAUAAUAUUGUUUUUUGUUCUUUGGUUAUCUGCUAGAAGUUGUAUCAGUGUGCUUUUGUCACCUUAUGCUCCACUAAUGAUUGUUAUAUGAAGAUUUAUUUGAGGCUCUAAAUAUAACCCAUAAAUGAUUGUAUAUUUCAGAAGAACAUUGGUGGGAAGAUAUUCAUGCUCACAACUCUAACUCAUUUUUAAUGCAUCGACACAUUAGAUUUUACGUGUCGUGAUAUCAUUCUUCAUUAGUAAACAGCAGUAUUUACUUUGUUUUCUUUCGGUAUGCAUUAAUGACCUCAUUCAGAACUACACUGACAUUAUUCUAUAUAUGUACUCUUCUUAAGUGUUGCCAGUCCUGAUGAUUAAUAACUCCAUUUAAGAUGUAAUAAUAUACUGUCAUUCAAGAAGUCGAACUUGAAAUCAGUCCCCAAGUAUGGUUUUGCAUCUGAAUGAAUGACUUGAACAUGAGGUUCAACUCUUUUGUUUUGCGUAUUUAUUUGGUGCUUUUGAAAUCUAUUCUAAGGAAAAAAAGUAAAAAGUUCAAAAGUUGCAGAACUAUUGAGAAUUAUCUCUUUGUUCACUUAAAGGACAUUGGUGACAUCUUAUUUUUUUCGAUAUUUUGGACAAUUAGAUACAUAUGUUGUUGUGAUACAUUUGAAUUUCUUUUUUAGAUCGUUUCAUCUUUUUCCCAUGUUGUUAUGGUAGAUUUUCAUGUGGACUGUAUCUUAAGUUCACUAUGGGUGAUUGGCACGUGUAUUUGCUUGAACAUGGUAUUUCUAUAUUCGAAUCUAUGGCAUUUUACAUCAACAUCUAAAAGCCAUCACCAAGAGCUCUCUCAGUAACUUUUAUCCUUGCAAGGCGAUUGGACUUCAUCCCAACUGAUUGGUAAAAGCAUGGCAGGUUUUGGCAUUGCCACUAUGCAUAUACCCUUUUCUUGAGGGUCUUGCAUAUUGCAGCUUUACGAUUGCUUUGUUGGUCCUUCAAUGAAUAGAGUAUAAAUCUUUCUAAUGUUUGAUAAUGAGACAUUUGUGCAUAUUUACUUUAUAGACUCAUCUCACUGGUUUAUAUCUAUAUAUGGAUAGAUCAGUGCGCUUGCAUUAAGUUUCAUGCCUUCUCUUUGCAUGACUUAGCAAAUGUAUCCCAACUUCAUGAUUCGGCAAAUUGUUGACCACUUUUGCAUAUUUGGAGCUGGUAAGUGAAGAAGUAUGGUGUCGAAAGUUUUAGAUUACUUUAAACAUCCACACUUAUAUGAUAAUUGUUUAUAUGUUAGGGUCGACAUCAAGAAUGUGUACUGAACAAUAUAAUACUAACUUGCACAUCGUUGCGGAGAGAAAUUUGUUUUAUCUAAGCUUAGAGUGAUUUUAGUCACUUAUUUUCCUUAACCCUUUUACAUUCUGCAAAAUCUUAAAUACUCAGAUCGCAAUGCUACAACAUUGAGUUGUCAGAACAAUACUGAGCUGCUGAACAAUUAUUCUACACACAAAGAUAUGUAUACUUUGUGGAGCACAAGAUUGGAACAUGAAUAAUCAGAACUGGAAGCUGUUUGUUCGUGAUCAUAUCAGUCAUUUAAUUUAAGGA
Molecule: non-coding RNA, 2323 nt
Organism: Nicotiana tabacum (common tobacco)
Lineage: Eukaryota; Viridiplantae; Streptophyta; Magnoliopsida; Solanales; Solanaceae
Source: RefSeq, a predicted model, not a curated record